This is a long non-coding RNA of Anas platyrhynchos (mallard), 2801 nucleotides long. RefSeq lists it as uncharacterized. Lineage: Eukaryota; Metazoa; Chordata; Aves; Anseriformes; Anatidae. The record is from RefSeq and is a predicted model, not a curated record.
AGGAUUUCACCUUCAGAGAGAGAGAGAGAGAGAGAUGGGAGAGGGUGGAAAAACCCCGCGGCCAUUUCCUGGUGCGCCCGGGGAGGCAGAGCAGCAGCGUGCCACCGCGGCCGAUGGGCGGGUGUGAAAGUCCACCAGCUAUCGCAGGGCGCUGCUCUCCGCACCCUGGGAGGCUGGCAGCCUUCCUCCCCGCGGCUCAGCUCAUCCUCCUCUCCCCGGGCACGGGUUAUUGCCUGGCAGAUUGCAGGACCAGUGCUCUCCUCAAAGCUGCGAGAAGGAGAAAAAUGGUUCCGUAAAGACGGAAAUUUCAGCUGGCAGGGCAGGGUGCCUCAACAGGGACUCGUUUCCAUGACCAAGGGUCAUCCAAGGGGAUGGAUAUUCAAAAAUACACAACAAUUUUGAUUGUCACUGGCACUGCAGGACAUCAUUUAGGGGAUCUGUCUUCCUCCCCCCAAGGACUGGAAAGGGACCGGCUACUGAGGAGAGCCAAAACCUUCAGCGGUGGCACCUGGCGGUGCAGAGGAUGGGGAGUGGGAGAGCCUUACCCAGCUUGUGGGAGGUGGAGCUCUGCAGGGCUUGCUCCCCAAUCUUCUCAAUCGCCUUAAAAUAGACUUCGGCUGCUUUGGCUAGUGCUGCGUGGAGAGGAGAGGGGUGGUAAGGGUCUGCCCUGCCUUCCCGCAGCACGAUGUGGAGCCCGGGCCGGGCAGGACCCCACUCACCAUGGAAAGCACGCAGGGCCCCGUGCUCCACAACGGCUGCGGACAGGGGAGCGACAGCGAGGGGACGUGUGAGCAGCCUUAUCCCUGAGCCUGCCUGGGUGAAGGCCACCCUUAUUGCUCAGCCACCGACACGGCUUUAUCCCGGCCACGAUCUGGUGUGCUGCCAGCCUCAGCAGCUUGAUAAGGGAAGGGAUGGACUGCUGCGGAUCGCCCUCUCUGUUUUUAUUUGCCGGAUUUAUCAGAGGGUUUUUAUUGCUCGCAGGAUAGCAGCUCGGAGGCCGGGAUAAGGAAUUUCCCCUACUCCCGACCCUCGCUGCCUUUCUGCAGCACCCGUGUGCCCAGGGAAGAGCGAGGGGGAUCCGACUGCUCUUCGCAGCAAGGGGGAAAAGAGCUGACCGAACUGAUGCUCGCUACCAGCAACCACGGUGUGUGACCCUUCAGAAAUCACCAAUUUCUUCCUGGCUUUGCCUUCAGACCCACACCACGCAGCCCAAAUCCCCCGGGGAUGGACCCAGCCCUCGGCUGCCCACCCCAGGGAGCCUCCCUGGGGAAACAGCUCUCUUCCCAGCGAGGCGGCAGCCUGCGGUGCCGGCGCUCACCUUAUAGAUGGAGAUGGUGGAUCUGUAGGACAGGUCCAUCUCCGGAGCCUUUUCUCUCUCCUGCGGAGGAGGAAGGGGCGAGGAGAGCGCGAGGAGCUGUGCUGGUCCAGAGGAGCCUUUUCCACGGAGCUGGCUGGAUGGAGAGAGCCUGUCCCCGGCCAGGUAUGACAGCAGGAAGGCACGGCCGUGGUGCAAAGGGAGCGGGGCGCUGCUGGGGGUUUAAUAAUUCACCAGCCGGGAGGCUGGAACUUGAUCCCAGGAUGUAACCGGACUCUGGAGGGAGAGGAAUCCUGCGGCAGGCAGCACGGGCAUGUGACCGCCUCCUUCAAUUAUUGAUCGCUGCCCGGCACCCGGCUCCCCCUGCCCUGGCACCCGCAGAGCCUGCCACCUGCCAGAAGGACAUCUUCCAGCCUCCAGCCCUCCGAGGGGGCUCUCGGAGCCUCCUCGCGCUACCGCAGCAUCCUCGGGUCCCCAGGACAGCCAAUUCACCUCCUCAGCCCAUGCGAAGGGAAGAGCUCCGUGUCCCCAGGAGCCCAAUUUGUCAUUUCCUAACCGUGAGACUGCAAGCUCAGCCCCCCGUGGGAUGUUGCAGGACGCAGAGGCACAAAACACGGAGCACAUCACAGCAGAACUGAAUCUUAGCUUCUCUUUAUUUCAAGCCAUGUUAGUUUUUGUUCGUAACGGCAGCUGAAGAAGUCAGUUUUUUCAGGUUACUUCUCAGAACUUCCAAGGGAUACAUACGUCAUGUAUAAAUACACAAAGUUUGCUACAGAAACAUUUAGUACAGCAGUCACGACGGGAUUUCCAGCAGUAAAAACGACAAAUCCCAAUUGCUACAGGGUCAGUUGCUUUGGUGGGACCUGAGCUCAGGUUCGAUUGCACGCUAACACAGAGAAAAUCCCUCUGCUGUUAUCCCUCGUCUUGAGCUUGCCACGAGACGAGGCAGGUUUUCACAUCUCAGCCCUCGAGCAGACUGUCACAAGCCAGGGGACACAAAACAGCCCCUGGGGGGGGGUCUGCUCCCCCCAGAGGUGCUGUCAGAACCUCAGGCACCUCUGGAGGGAAAAGGGGAGGGCGUUACAGGUGGCAACUGGUUCAGGAAGGGUUCCCCCUUCUCCCCAGUGCCAGUCACAGUAUUUUCCAUCUCUCUACCGCAGAAGGCUGCAGAGUUUCUGCCUCCCUCCAAGCCAGGAGUGUCGAGCAAAGGAUCCCUUUCCCCACCCUAUACUCAGAACCAGCUCGGUCCCAGCAGGGAAAGCAAUCCUUGGAGCUUUAUCUGGCGUUGGCCCGUUCUGUGAUGCAGGAAGAUGCGCAGUGCUUUGUCCCUGGGGGUGCUGCACAGACAGGAGCCGGGCUCCAGCUGCUCCAGCUCGGGGUGUAGGUGGGGGCUCUGGCUCCUGGGAAGGGCUUUAGGGUCAGGGAGCAGGGCAGCAAAACCAAGCAGAGUAGUGGAGAUGGGGCUGGAGUACAAGAACUGUCAGUA